GCAGCAGCCGCGGUAAAACGGAGGGUGCAAGCGUUAAUCGGAAUUACUGGGCGUAAAGCGCACGCAGGCGGUCUGUCAAGUCGGAUGUGAAAUCCCCGGGCUCAACCUGGGAACUGCAUUCGAAACUGGCAGGCUAGAGUCUUGUAGAGGGGGGUAGAAUUCCAGGUGUAGCGGUGAAAUGCGUAGAGAUCUGGAGGAAUACCGGUGGCGAAGGCGGCCCCCUGGACAAAGACUGACGCUCAGGUGCGAAAGCGUGGGGAGCAAACAGGAUUAGAUACCCGCGUAGUCCCUGUCUCUUAUAC
This 302-nucleotide ribosomal RNA is filed under the name uncultured bacterium. RNAcentral's name for it is "partial 16S ribosomal RNA". It matches the Rfam family "Bacterial small subunit ribosomal RNA", at positions 508 to 807 of the family's 1533-position model. The record is from RNAcentral.